Molecule: long non-coding RNA, 438 nt
Filed under: Pogona vitticeps (central bearded dragon)
Lineage: Eukaryota; Metazoa; Chordata; Lepidosauria; Squamata; Agamidae
Description: lncRNA (ENSPVIG00000014810.1)
Source: RNAcentral
AGCCUGCUUGUGAUGUCAUACUUGACAUCAGAAUAGGGUGUCUGCAUGCUGCCUAGGGCUCUCUCCCAGCUGGCAGUAGCUGUUGAAGUCUCCAGAUAAGUAGCCCUCAAGCUGACUCUCUCGAGAGACAGAGAUUUAGAUUGGCAUCUCACUUUGCUUUAUGUGACUCAGCAAUGAAAGUACCAUGUGCAUUGAUGCUACUAUAUAUAUAUCAUCUUCAUCACCCGAGGCGUUAUCACAGGAAUAAGAGACAGAAGAUCAAGAAUGAUACUGAGAAGGGCUAUAUAGUUUUCCCUGGACUUGCUCCCUGGGGCAACUGAAUUGAGAAUGGGCGGUAUGUAUAUCCUAUCUUGGUGUUUCUUCCUUUUUUUUUCGAGGGUUGACUGUAGAACAAAUAAGUAAAAUAAAUACAUUUACUAUGUAGUUAGUGUGCGUACG